UAUGGGAAAAUACCAGAUUUAUACUGAUAAAAUGUAAAAUACAGAGGAUAAUAUCAUAGCAAAUGGUGAUAAAUCACUUAAGAAAGAUAUAGAUAUAGAAAAAAUGUUAUUUGGGAAGUGACAAAAAAGUACCACAGGGUCUUUAUGGGGUUAAAUUUGCACGAGAAAAAGUAGUUAGAAG
Long non-coding RNA from Sphaeramia orbicularis (orbiculate cardinalfish), 181 nucleotides. RefSeq lists it as uncharacterized. The transcript is spliced from 5 exons. The record is from RefSeq and is a predicted model, not a curated record. Lineage: Eukaryota; Metazoa; Chordata; Actinopteri; Kurtiformes; Apogonidae.